Molecule: ribosomal RNA, 305 nt
Filed under: uncultured bacterium
Lineage: Bacteria
Description: bacterial SSU rRNA
Rfam family: Bacterial small subunit ribosomal RNA
Source: RNAcentral
AAACUCCUACGGGGGGCAGCAGUGAGGAAUAUUGGUCAAUGGGCGCGAGCCUGAACUAGCCACGUCGCGUGAGGGAAGACGGUCCUAUGGAUUGUAAAUCUCUUUUGUCGGGGAGCAAAAGACGCCACGCGUGGCGUUCCGAGAGUACCCGAAGAAAAAGCAUCGGCUAACUCCGUGCCAGCAGCCGCGGUAAUACGGAGGAUGCGAGCGUUAUCCGGAUUUAUUGGGUUUAAAGGGUGUGCAGGCGGAAGAUCAAGUCAGCGGUAAAAUUGAGAGGCUCAACCUCUUCGAGCCGUUGAAACUGG